This 246-nucleotide ribosomal RNA is filed under the name uncultured bacterium. Its description in RNAcentral is "partial 16S ribosomal RNA". It matches the Rfam family "Bacterial small subunit ribosomal RNA", at positions 57 to 305 of the family's 1533-position model. The record is from RNAcentral.
GCAAGUCGAACGGUAAGGCUGUUUCGGGAGUACACGGGUGGCGGACGGGUGCGUAACGCGUAUGCAACAUACCUUUUAGCGGGGGAUAUUCUAGGGAAACUUUUCGCAAUACCCCAGGGUAUUAUUUGAUCGCAUGGUCGAAUAAUUAAACUUCGGUGCUAAAAGAUUGGCAUGCGUGACAUUAGUUAGUUGGCGAGGUAAUGGCUCACCAAGACAACGAUGUCUAGCUGGUCUGAGAGGAUGAUC